Mustela erminea (ermine) is the source of this 95-nucleotide long non-coding RNA. RefSeq lists it as uncharacterized. NCBI's taxonomy places the organism in Eukaryota, Metazoa, Chordata, Mammalia, Carnivora, Mustelidae. The transcript has 3 exons. The record is from RefSeq and is a predicted model, not a curated record.
UCUUCAUGGCAAACAAGCAUGACCGGAUCAAGGUCCACGUGCCCACAGGCUUUGCUGCCUUCCCUUGUAAGUUAAUGCAUAUGCCUGAAAAAAUG